This 424-nucleotide ribosomal RNA is filed under the name uncultured prokaryote. Its description in RNAcentral is "bacterial SSU rRNA". It matches the Rfam family "Bacterial small subunit ribosomal RNA", at positions 355 to 796 of the family's 1533-position model. The record is from RNAcentral.
UGGGGAAUCUUGGACAAUGGGGGCAACCCUGAUCCAGCCAUGCCGCGUGAGUGAUGAAGGCCCUAGGGUCGUAAAGCUCUUUCGCCUGUGAAGAUAAUGACGGUACCUCCUUAGCAAGCACCGGCUAACUCUGUGCCAGCAGCCGCGGUAAUACAGAGGGUGCGAACGUUGCUCGGAUUUACUGGGCGUAAAGCGCGUGUAGGCGGACUCGCAAGUCGGUUGUGAAAUCCCUGGGCUCAACCUAGGAACUGCAUCCGAAACUGCUUGUCUUGAGUAAUGGAGAGGGUGGCGGAAUUCCCGGUGUAGAGGUGAAAUUCGUAGAUAUCGGGAGGAACAUCAGUGGCGAAGGCGGCCACCUGGACAUUUACUGACGCUGAGACGCGAAAGCGUGGGGAGCAAACAGGAUUAGAUACCCGCGUAGUCC